Molecule: long non-coding RNA, 536 nt
Filed under: Homo sapiens (human)
Lineage: Eukaryota; Metazoa; Chordata; Mammalia; Primates; Hominidae
Description: HSALNT0096096
Source: RNAcentral
UCCUUGCUUGAGUAUUCUGUGGUUUUAGACAAUCACUUGCUGUUCCAGAGGUAAGCAAAAGAAGGUUGAGAAGAAAGAGGUAAGUUGUGCCAAAUGUGUACUUAGCACCACAAUACGCGCAAUGCUAUGAGUCAAGUAAAUACAUUUUUCUGAUAAAUUUUUUAAAAGCUGUCUACCUCUUUUAGAGUCUCAGUCUUGGGAUCAUAUCUAAUUUUUUAUUCUACUUUGUGAAAUCUACCACUCUUUCCAUAGUAAUAAUGAAAACAGGUGCUACUUAUUGAGUGCCUAAUACAUGUCAGUAAUGUUUCAUAGAUUGUUUCUAAUCCUGACAAUCAUCCUAUGAUAGAUAUUAUUUGCAUCUUACAGAUGAUGAAAUUGAGGCUCAGAAAGAUUAAGUAAGUUGUCCAAGAUUAUAUAGCUCAUAGGUGACUGGGAUUUGAAGCCAAGUCUACUACUAUACCACAGUGUUUCUCGUGUGGUUGCUUUCUGCAAAGAUCUCUAUAACCGUGUAAAAAGUGUAUUCUACUAAGUCUAGA